This is a long non-coding RNA of Sander lucioperca (pikeperch), 259 nucleotides long. RefSeq lists it as uncharacterized. The transcript has 3 exons. NCBI's taxonomy places the organism in Eukaryota, Metazoa, Chordata, Actinopteri, Perciformes, Percidae. The record is from RefSeq and is a predicted model, not a curated record.
GUGGUCAGUGUGUGAGUCUAGUGUAGGUCAGUAUGAGUGUGUAAAUAGUAUGUCGAGACCGAAUGUAACCGCAACCGCUUGAGUCUAAUGUAAUCAAGCGGUUUCUGGCGGGGGAAGCAAACGCGUGAUCCCACCCCUUCGCGGGCACGCAAACCGGUGACCGAAUCUAUUAACUCGGUAGGCCAACCUACGACCGUCCGGUUGAACCGACUCGCGUAAAAGAGUCGGUUGUCCCAUCACUAACCUCUAGCUAGCUCCA